Molecule: ribosomal RNA, 1175 nt
Filed under: Bacillus velezensis
Lineage: Bacteria; Bacillati; Bacillota; Bacilli; Caryophanales; Bacillaceae
Description: bacterial SSU rRNA
Rfam family: Bacterial small subunit ribosomal RNA
Source: RNAcentral
AGCUUGCUCCCUGAUGUUAGCGGCGGACGGGUGAGUAACACGUGGGUAACCUGCCUGUAAGACUGGGAUAACUCCGGGAAACCGGGGCUAAUACCGGAUGGUUGUUUGAACCGCAUGGUUCAGACAUAAAAGGUGGCUUCGGCUAUCACUUACAGAUGGACCCGCGGCGCAUUAGCUAGUUGGUGAGGUAACGGCUCACCAAGGCGACGAUGCGUAGCCGACCUGAGAGGGUGAUCGGCCACACUGGGACUGAGACACGGCCCAGACUCCUACGGGAGGCAGCAGUAGGGAAUCUUCCGCAAUGGACGAAAGUCUGACGGAGCAACGCCGCGUGAGUGAUGAAGGUUUUCGGAUCGUAAAGCUCUGUUGUUAGGGAAGAACAAGUGCCGUUCAAAUAGGGCGGCACCUUGACGGUACCUAACCAGAAAGCCACGGCUAACUACGUGCCAGCAGCCGCGGUAAUACGUAGGUGGCAAGCGUUGUCCGGAAUUAUUGGGCGUAAAGGGCUCGCAGGCGGUUUCUUAAGUCUGAUGUGAAAGCCCCCGGCUCAACCGGGGAGGGUCAUUGGAAACUGGGGAACUUGAGUGCAGAAGAGGAGAGUGGAAUUCCACGUGUAGCGGUGAAAUGCGUAGAGAUGUGGAGGAACACCAGUGGCGAAGGCGACUCUCUGGUCUGUAACUGACGCUGAGGAGCGAAAGCGUGGGGAGCGAACAGGAUUAGAUACCCUGGUAGUCCACGCCGUAAACGAUGAGUGCUAAGUGUUAGGGGGUUUCCGCCCCUUAGUGCUGCAGCUAACGCAUUAAGCACUCCGCCUGGGGAGUACGGUCGCAAGACUGAAACUCAAAGGAAUUGACGGGGGCCCGCACAAGCGGUGGAGCAUGUGGUUUAAUUCGAAGCAACGCGAAGAACCUUACCAGGUCUUGACAUCCUCUGACAAUCCUAGAGAUAGGACGUCCCCUUCGGGGGCAGAGUGACAGGUGGUGCAUGGUUGUCGUCAGCUCGUGUCGUGAGAUGUUGGGUUAAGUCCCGCAACGAGCGCAACCCUUGAUCUUAGUUGCCAGCAUUCAGUUGGGCACUCUAAGGUGACUGCCGGUGACAAACCGGAGGAAGGUGGGGAUGACGUCAAAUCAUCAUGCCCCUUAUGACCUGGGCUACACACGUGCUACAAUGGACAG